GACGAACGCUGGCGGCGUGCUUAACACAUGCAAGUCGAACGGAAAGGCCCUGCUUUUGUGGGGUGCUCGAGUGGCGAACGGGUGAGUAACACGUGAGUAACCUGCCCUUGACUUUGGGAUAACUUCAGGAAACUGGGGCUAAUACCGGAUAGGAGCUCCUGCUGCAUGGUGGGGGUUGGAAAGUUUCGGCGGUUGGGGAUGGACUCGCGGCUUAUCAGCUUGUUGGUGGGGUAGUGGCUUACCAAGGCUUUGACGGGUAGCCGGCCUGAGAGGGUGGCCGGCCACAUUGGGACUGAGAGACGGCCCAGACUCCUACGUGAGGCAGCAGUGGGGAAUAUUGCACAAUGGGCGGAAGCCUGAUGCAGCAACGCCGCGUGCGGGAUGACGGCCUUCGGGUUGUAAACCGCUUUCGCCUGUGACGAAGCGUGAGUGACGGUAAUGGGUAAAGAAGCACCGGCUAACUACGUG
RNAcentral lists this ribosomal RNA (468 nucleotides) under uncultured bacterium. RNAcentral's name for it is "partial 16S ribosomal RNA". It matches the Rfam family "Bacterial small subunit ribosomal RNA", at positions 28 to 507 of the family's 1533-position model. The record is from RNAcentral.